GGAGAGCCCGGGAUCAAAGGAAUCUGAAGAGAAAGGGGAGGCGGGCGGACGGCCGGGCUGGCCUUGCCCCCCGCGGGCCGCGCUGACCUGGGGUGGGGGCCGCGGGCGGGGACUUCGGGAUCUCCCGCCCGCCGGGGACCGGGCCUCCGCUGGCGCCUGCUUCGGGUGGUGCGGCCGGGAGGAGCUCCAGGCCCGGACAAUUGAAUUAGGCCCCCGAGCGCGGACUCCAAGGCUCCAAAGGAGGGACGCGGACACUGGGUCGUGGUGGCACCGAGAGGCCCAGAAGGCGAUCACUGGCCCGGCCUUGCGCAGGGAGAACGGAGCUGCACAGAGUCGGCGCGCGCAUACUCGGCCCGCUUCCCACGCACGCGGAUGAGAAGCUGCCCGGUUCGGGAGAAAUCGCUCUCGGGAAGGGUGGCAGGAGACCGGCGGGUCCGAGCCUUCGGGAAGGGGAGGUCACAGGUUAGACCAGAGCCAGCCCCGAGCGCGCGCACCCACCGGUGUCCCUGGCUCGGUGCAGGGCUCCGCUCGCCAACUGCACGUUUUCUGCGCUCAUUUGCAAUCCGUGUUCCUCAUUAUUUUCUUCCUUUGAUCUUGUUUUCCGAUCCAGAAAUCUUUUGUGAUUAUUAAAGUCCUAUUUAGAGCUUUU
Nannospalax galili (Upper Galilee mountains blind mole rat) is the source of this 649-nucleotide long non-coding RNA. RefSeq lists it as uncharacterized. The record is from RefSeq and is a predicted model, not a curated record. The transcript is spliced from 2 exons. Lineage: Eukaryota; Metazoa; Chordata; Mammalia; Rodentia; Spalacidae.